UACGGAGGGUGCAAACGUUGCUCGGAAUCAUUGGGCGUAAAGCGCACGUAGGCGGUCUGCUAUGUCGGGUGUGAAAUCCCUCGGCUUAACCGAGGAAGUGCAUUCGAAACUGGCAGACUUGAAUACUCAAGAGGGUCUCGGAAUUCCCGGUGUAGAGGUGAAAUUCGUAGAUAUCGGGAGGAACACCAGUGGCGAAGGCGGAGACCUGGGGAGAUAUUGACGCUGAGGUGCGAAAGCGUGGGGAGCAAACAGG
RNAcentral lists this ribosomal RNA (253 nucleotides) under uncultured bacterium. Its description in RNAcentral is "partial 16S ribosomal RNA". It matches the Rfam family "Bacterial small subunit ribosomal RNA", at positions 524 to 776 of the family's 1533-position model. The record is from RNAcentral. RNAcentral also lists the same sequence under 1 other name.